This 241-nucleotide ribosomal RNA is filed under the name uncultured bacterium. RNAcentral's name for it is "partial 16S ribosomal RNA". It matches the Rfam family "Bacterial small subunit ribosomal RNA", at positions 95 to 334 of the family's 1533-position model. The record is from RNAcentral.
CCGGCGCACGGGUGAGUAACACGUAUCCAACCUGCCGUCUACUCUUGGCCAGCCUUCUGAAAGGAAGAUUAAUCCAGGAUGGCAUCAUGAGUUCACACGUCCGCAUGAUUAAAGGUAUUUUCCGGUAGACGAUGGGGAUGCGUUCCAUUAGAUAGUAGGCGGGGUAACGGCCCACCUAGUCAACGAUGGAUAGGGGUUCUGAGAGGAAGGUCCCCCACAUUGGAACUGAGACACGGUCCAA